RNAcentral lists this ribosomal RNA (549 nucleotides) under uncultured bacterium. Its description in RNAcentral is "bacterial SSU rRNA". It matches the Rfam family "Bacterial small subunit ribosomal RNA", at positions 356 to 896 of the family's 1533-position model. The record is from RNAcentral.
AGGGAAUCUUCCGCAAUGGGCGAAAGCCUGACGGAGCAACGCCGCGUGAGUGAUGAAGGUCUUCGGAUCGUAAAACUCUGUUAUUAGGGAAGAACAUAUGUGUAAGUAACUGUGCACAUCUUGACGGUACCUAAUCAGAAAGCCACGGCUAACUACGUGCCAGCAGCCGCGGUAAUACGUAGGUGGCAAGCGUUAUCCGGAAUUAUUGGGCGUAAAGCGCGCGUAGGCGGUUUUUUAAGUCUGAUGUGAAAGCCCACGGCCCAACCGUGGAGGGUCAUUGGAAACUGGAAAACUUGAGUGCAGAAGAGGAAAGUGGAAUUCCAUGUGUAGCGGUGAAAUGCGCAGAGAUAUGGAGGAACACCAGUGGCGAAGGCGACUUUCUGGUCUGUAACUGACGCUGAUGUGCGAAAGCGUGGGGAUCAAACAGGAUUAGAUACCCUGGUAGUCCACGCCGUAAACGAUGAGUGCUAAGUGUUAGGGGGUUUCCGCCCCUUAGUGCUGCAGCUAACGCAUUAAGCACUCCGCCUGGGGAGUACGACCGCAAGGUUG